Molecule: long non-coding RNA, 1009 nt
Filed under: Homo sapiens (human)
Lineage: Eukaryota; Metazoa; Chordata; Mammalia; Primates; Hominidae
Description: HSALNT0350653
Source: RNAcentral
CUCCCACCAGGCUCCUUCACCAACGUUGGGGAUUACAAUUCAACAGGAGAUCUGGGCAGGGACACAAACCCAAACUAUGUCACCUGGGCACGGGGCAGCAGCUUGGAUCUCCCAGGAGUGGACCCUGAGACAGGAAGGCCCGUGCUGGAGCCCAGAAUCUCAGAGUCCCUGGCACUUGAAAGAAGCUGGGGCUAAUUACAAGGAGAACAAAUGGGGCCUGUGGAGGCAGAAGGACCUGGGCUCAGGUUGCAGCUCUAUGCUAAGCUCCCAAUACGUGUUAUGUCUUCAGCAUUCCCAGCCAGGCUAUACACAGCUGGUACCCUUCAGUGAAGAUGACCCCAGCCCAGGCGUAAAUCCUUAUCACUCUCAGCCAAGUGUGGUGCAACAGUCCAUAAUUAGUUUGCUCAAAGGCAUGGAGAGUAACUCUGGCCCAGAGGAUGUCUGCUAGGCGGUGAUUAGAAAGGUCUCCUCACUCUGGACGCCACCUCCAGUAGGACAGAUUGGUUUCCAGCAGGCACAGUCUCCCACCGAUGAUCAAAGAACCAGAUAAAUCACAAAACCAUAUUUUUUGAGACAAUAGGGAGCUGGAGAAGCAAUGAGAACAAGAUAAACUAAAAUUCCAGAGUCAAGAGACCGUUCAGAGCUGACCUGAAAAUCCGCAGCCCCUUUGCUCUGAGGCAGUUGCUGACUUGAGGCUGGCUGAGAAUGUGGCUCUGCACAAGGCAGAGGCUGCUGCUAAGGACAGAGAAAAAGGCAACACUUUUGGUGGCUAUGCAGGCCCAAGCAACCGAAUUGGAGAGUCAAAAGGCCUCAAACGUAUGGUUGGUGUUCGCCAUCAUCCUGAAGCAGCUGGAUUGAUAGAACAGUGGAAUGGGUGACAACUAGGUGAUAAUACUUUGCUGGGGCAAAGUUCUCCAGAACACUAUGCAUGCUCUGAAUCAGCCUCCAGUAUAUGACACUGUUUCUCCCAUAGCCAGGAUUCACGGGUCUAGAAAUCAAGGGGUGGAAG